Molecule: unclassified non-coding RNA, 304 nt
Filed under: plant metagenome
Description: partial contains 5.8S ribosomal RNA, internal transcribed spacer 2, and large subunit ribosomal RNA
Rfam family: 5.8S ribosomal RNA (bases 1-105)
Source: RNAcentral
GAAAUGCGAUAAGUAGUGUGAAUUGCAGAAUUCAGUGAAUCAUCGAAUCUUUGAACGCACAUUGCGCCCUUUGGUAUUCCUUAGGGCAUGCCUGUUCGAGCGUCAUCUAAACCUUCAAGCCCUGCUUGGUGUUGGGUGCCUGUCCCGCCUCCGCGCGCGGACUCACCUCAAAUCCAUUGGCGGCCCCCGCGUCGGCCACGAGCGCAGCAGAAACGCGAACUCGUGAGCCCGUCCGGGCGGCUCCCAGAAGCUACACCCACCCAGUUUGACCUCGGAUCAGGUAGGGAUACCCGCUGAACUUAAG